GGGAUGUGUUUAUUAGAUAAAAAACCAAUGCCCUUUCGGGGCUCUUUGGUGAUUCAUGAUAACUUUACGGAUCGCAUAGCCUUGCGCUGGCGACGGUUCAUUCAAAUUUCUGCCCUAUCAACUUUCGAUGGUAAGGUAUUGGCUUACCAUGGUUUCAACGGGUAACGGGGAAUUAGGGUUCGAUUCCGGAGAGGGAGCCUGAGAAACGGCUACCACAUCCAAGGAAGGCAGCAGGCGCGCAAAUUACCCAAUCCCGACACGGGGAGGUAGUGACAAUAAAUACUGAUACAGGGCUCUUUUGGGUCUUGUAAUUGGAAUGAGUACAAUUUAAACCUCUUAACGAGGAACAAUUGGAGGGCAAGUCUGGUGCCAGCAGCCGCGGUAAUUCCAGCUCCAAUAGCGUAUAUUAAAGUUGUUGCAGUUAAAAAGCUCGUAGUUGAAACUUGGGCCUGGCUGGCGGGUCCGCCUCACCGCGUGCACUCGUCCGGCCGGGCCUUCCUUCUGAAGAACCUCAUGCCCUUCACUGGGCGUGUUGGGGAAUCAGGACUUUUACUUUGAAAAAAUUAGAGUGUUCAAAGCAGGCCUUUGCUCGAAUACGUUAGCAUGGAAUAAUAAAAUAGGGCGUGCGUUUCUAUUUUGUUGGUUUCUAGAGACGCCGCAAUGAUUAACAGGAACAGUCGGGGGCAUCAGUAUUCAGUUGUCAGAGGUGAAAUUCUUGGAUUUACUGAAGACUAACUACUGCGAAAGCAUUUGCCAAGGAUGUUUUCAUUAAUCAGUGAACGAAAGUUAGGGGAUCGAAGACGAUCAGAUACCGUCGUAGUCUUAACCGUAAACUAUGCCGACUAGGGAUCGGGCGAUGUUCUUUUUCUGACUCGCUCGGCACCUUACGAGAAAUCAAAGU
RNAcentral lists this ribosomal RNA (901 nucleotides) under Curvularia hawaiiensis. RNAcentral describes it as "SSU rRNA". It matches the Rfam family "Eukaryotic small subunit ribosomal RNA", at positions 198 to 1104 of the family's 1831-position model. The record is from RNAcentral. Lineage: Eukaryota; Fungi; Ascomycota; Dothideomycetes; Pleosporales; Pleosporaceae.